Molecule: ribosomal RNA, 352 nt
Filed under: uncultured bacterium
Lineage: Bacteria
Description: bacterial SSU rRNA
Rfam family: Bacterial small subunit ribosomal RNA
Source: RNAcentral
GAUGAACGCUAGCGGCAGGCUUAAUACAUGCAAGUCGAGGGGCAGCAGGGAUAGCAAUAUUCGCUGGCGACCGGCGCACGGGUGCGUAACACGUAUACAAUCUGCCUUUAACAGGGGGAUAGCCCGGAGAAAUCCGGAUUAAUACCCCAUAAUAAAUUGAAUGGCAUCAUUUGAUUUUGAAAGCUCCGGCGGUUAGAGAUGAGUAUGCGUCUGAUUAGCUAGUUGGUGAGGUAACGGCUCACCAAGGCGACGAUCAGUAGGGGAUCUGAGAGGAUUAACCCCCACACGGAUACUGAGACACGGAUCCGACUCCUACGGGAGGCAGCAGUAAGGAAUAUUGGACAAUGCCCGC